Long non-coding RNA from Eptesicus fuscus (big brown bat), 308 nucleotides. RefSeq lists it as uncharacterized. The record is from RefSeq and is a predicted model, not a curated record. The transcript is spliced from 3 exons. Lineage: Eukaryota; Metazoa; Chordata; Mammalia; Chiroptera; Vespertilionidae.
CCCGCGCGUGCGCGAAACGGCUGCGGGAAACUGGAGCGAUAGACUCGGAGCCCCGGCGGACUGUGCAGACACAAAGUCGGGGUCUCUGAGUUUGCAAGACUGCCACGCAGGCCUCCCCUGAGCUUGUCAGGUUAGCAUGUGGCUCCUUUUGUCCACAGAGGGUAGCACCCAGAGUUUGCCCGAAGAGUCUCCACCCGGGUCAAUGAGGGCAUCUCCAUGCUGACCUUUCACCUACCAGAUGGGCAAAGAUGAAGACCCAGAAAGGAGUCAAUGAAGGAGGAGUGUGGGGAACAGGCGCUCACUCUCAA